GGUUGUACAGCUGCUUGCUGU
RNAcentral lists this unclassified non-coding RNA (21 nucleotides) under Mus musculus (house mouse). RNAcentral describes it as "oocyte_clustered_small_RNA8337". Lineage: Eukaryota; Metazoa; Chordata; Mammalia; Rodentia; Muridae. The record is from RNAcentral.